GAUUCAUGAUAACUUAACGAAUCGCAUGGCCUUGCGCCGGCGAUGGUUCAUUCAAAUUUCUGCCCUAUCAACUUUCGAUGGUAGGAUAGUGGCCUACCAUGGUAUCAACGGGUAACGGGGAAUUAGGGUUCUAUUCCGGAGAGGGAGCCUGAGAAACGGCUACCACAUCCAAGGAAGGCAGCAGGCGCGCAAAUUACCCAAUCCCGACACGGGGAGGUAGUGACAAUAAAUACUGAUACAGGGCUCUUUUGGGUCUUGUAAUUGGAAUGAGUACAAUUUAAAUACCUUAACGAGGAACAAUUGGAGGGCAAGUCUGGUGCCAGCAGCCGCGGUAAUUCCAGCUCCAAUAGCGUAUAUUAAAGUUGUUGCAGUUAAAAAGCUCGUAGUUGAACCUUGGGCCUGGCUGGCCGGUCCGCCUCACCGCGUGUACUGGUCCGGCCGGGCCUUUCCUUCUGGGGAUCCGCAUGCCCUUCACUGGGUGUGUCGGGGAACCAGGACUUUUACUUUGAAAAAAUUAGAGUGUUCAAAGCAGGCCUUUGCUCGAAUACAUUAGCAUGGAAUAAUAGAAUAGGACGUGCGGUCCUAUUUUGUUGGUUUCUAGGACCGCCGUAAUGAUUAAUAGGGAUAGUCGGGGGCAUCAGUAUUCAAUUGUCAGAGGUGAAAUUCUUGGAUUUAUUGAAGACUAACUACUGCGAAAGCAUUUGCCAAGGAUGUUUUCAUUAAUCAGUGAACGAAAGUUAGGGGAUCGAAGACGAUCAGAUACCGUCGUAGUCUUAACCGUAAACUAUGCCGACUAGGGAUCGGGCGAUGUUAUUCUUUUGACGCGCUCGGCACCUUACGAGAAAUCAAAGUC
This 853-nucleotide ribosomal RNA is filed under the name Dothiorella sarmentorum. Its description in RNAcentral is "SSU rRNA". It matches the Rfam family "Eukaryotic small subunit ribosomal RNA", at positions 248 to 1105 of the family's 1831-position model. The record is from RNAcentral. Lineage: Eukaryota; Fungi; Ascomycota; Dothideomycetes; Botryosphaeriales; Botryosphaeriaceae.